AGUGAACGCUGGCGGUAGGCCUAACACAUGCAAGUCGAACGGCAGCACAGGAGAGCUUGCUCUCUGGGUGGCGAGUGGCGGACGGGUGAGGAAUACAUCGGAAUCUACUUUUUCGUGGGGGAUAACGUAGGGAAACUUACGCUAAUACCGCAUACGACCUACGGGUGAAAGCAGGGGACCUUCGGGCCUUGCGCGAUUGAAUGAGCCGAUGUCGGAUUAGCUAGUUGGCGGGGUAAAGGCCCACCAAGGCGACGAUCCGUAGCUGGUCUGAGAGGAUGAUCAGCCACACGGGAACUGAGACACGGUGCAGACUCCUACGGGAGGCAGCAGUGGGGAAUAUUGGACAAUGGGCGCAAGCCUGAUCCAGCCAUACCGCGUGGGUGAAGAAGGCCUUCGGGUUGUAAAGCCCUUUUGUUGGGAAAGAAAUCCAGCUGGCUAAUACCCGGUUGGGAUGACGGUACCCAAAGAAUAAGCACCGGCUAACUUCGUGCCAGCCGCCGCAGUAA
Molecule: ribosomal RNA, 506 nt
Filed under: uncultured bacterium
Lineage: Bacteria
Description: partial 16S ribosomal RNA
Rfam family: Bacterial small subunit ribosomal RNA
Source: RNAcentral